Molecule: ribosomal RNA, 549 nt
Filed under: uncultured bacterium
Lineage: Bacteria
Description: bacterial SSU rRNA
Rfam family: Bacterial small subunit ribosomal RNA
Source: RNAcentral
UGGGGAAUAUUGCACAAUGGGCGCAAGCCUGAUGCAGCCAUGCCGCGUGUAUGAAGAAGGCCUUCGGGUUGUAAAGUACUUUCAGCGGGGAGGAAGGGAGUAAAGUUAAUACCUUUGCUCAUUGACGUUACCCGCAGAAGAAGCACCGGCUAACUCCGUGCCAGCAGCCGCGGUAAUACGGAGGGUGCAAGCGUUAAUCGGAAUUACUGGGCGUAAAGCGCACGCAGGCGGUUUGUUAAGUCAGAUGUGAAAUCCCCGGGCUCAACCUGGGAACUGCAUCUGAUACUGGCAAGCUUGAGUCUCGUAGAGGGGGGUAGAAUUCCAGGUGUAGCGGUGAAAUGCGUAGAGAUCUGGAGGAAUACCGGUGGCGAAGGCGGCCCCCUGGACGAAGACUGACGCUCAGGUGCGAAAGCGUAGGGAGCAAACAGGAUUAGAUACCCUGGUAGUCCACGCCGUAAACGAUGUCGACUUGGAGGUUGUGCCCUUGAGGCGUGGCUUCCGGAGCUAACGCGUUAAGUCGACCGCCUGGGGAGUACGGCCGCAAGGUUA